RNAcentral lists this ribosomal RNA (460 nucleotides) under uncultured bacterium. RNAcentral describes it as "partial 16S ribosomal RNA". It matches the Rfam family "Bacterial small subunit ribosomal RNA", at positions 338 to 795 of the family's 1533-position model. The record is from RNAcentral.
CCUACGGGUGGCAGCAGUGAGGAAUAUUGGUCAAUGGACGCGAGUCUGAACCAGCCAAGUAGCGUGAAGGAUGACUGCCCUACGGGUUGUAAACUUCUUUUAUACAGGAAUAAAGUCAGGCACGUGUGCCUUUUUGUAAGUACUUUAUGAAUAAGGAUCGGCUAACUCCGUGCCAGCAGCCGCGGUAAUACGGAGGAUCCGAGCGUUAUCCGGAUUUAUUGGGUUUAAAGGGAGCGUAGAUGGGUUGUUAAGUCAGUGGUGAAAGUUUGCGGCUCAACCGUAAAACUGCCAUUGAUACUGGCAGUCUUGAGUACAGUUGAGGUAGGCGGAAUUUGUGGUGUAGCGGUGAAAUGCUUAGAGAUCACAAAGAACUCCGAUUGCGAAGGCAGCUUACCAAACUGCAACUGACAUUGAGGCUCGAAAGUGUGGGUAGCAAACAGGAUUAGAUACCCUAGUAGUC